Astatotilapia calliptera (eastern happy) is the source of this 2724-nucleotide long non-coding RNA. The record is from Ensembl. NCBI's taxonomy places the organism in Eukaryota, Metazoa, Chordata, Actinopteri, Cichliformes, Cichlidae.
GUCGGGGCAUUUUCACGACUGUUCCAUUCCAAAAAGGAGACUUUCUUUUGGAAUACAGAGGUAAACUCAUAACAAAAGAAGAAUGUGAGCGGAGACACAGAGUUUAUCAUGACAGCCUGAAGGUGUUCAUGUUUGAAUUCAAGUUUGAUGGAAAACUCUGGUGUGUGGAUGCAUCUCAAGAAGAUGGGUCAUUAGGCAGACUUGUCAACGACAACCACAUCAGUCCAAGUGCUAAGAUGAAAAUAUUAAAUAUCAAUGGAAAGCCCCAUCUAUGCUUAUUUGCAAGCAGAGACAUAAGUCCAGGCGAAGAAAUAGACUAUAAUUAUGGUGACUCGGAUUGGCUCUGGAGAUGCAAGACGGAGACCAGCCAGAUUCAGAAGACUGUGAGCUGCCUAAAGCCGCAACCAAACAGCUUUCCAAACAAUGAUCUGGACCUGAAACAUCCAGAGCCUGAAAGGGAUCUUGAUGAAGAAAUGCCUCAGCAAGGCUCAGAAGCCAUGCAUUCUUCUUCAGUGCAAGAUUUUGAAGAGACUGAGACCAGCCAGAUUCAGAAGACUGUGAGCUGCCUAAAGCCGCAACCAAACAGCUUUCCAAACAAUGAUCUGGACCUGAAACAUCCAGAGCCUGAAAGGGAUCUUGAUGAAGAAAUGCCUCAGCAAGGCUCAGAAGCCAUGCAUUCUUCUUCAGUGCAAGAUUUUGAAGAGACUGAGACCAGCCAGAUUCAGAAGACUGUGAGCUGCCUAAAGCCGCAACCAAACAGCUUUCCAAACAAUGAUCUGGACCUGAAACAUCCAGAGCCUGAAAGGUGUCACAAUCAUCGUCUGGUGUGCACAACAAUAUCAUCUUUGGACAAGUGCAUUCAGUGUGUGGGACUGGUUUCCUCCCUCAAGUGGCUUGGCUAUAAGUGCAAAGAUGAAAUUGCAUUAAGUGAUGCUGAAACAAAGGACAGUGAGAGUGAAUCAGAUGAUGAUGACACAUCACUCACAAUGUCGGCGUGUGGCACCAGUGAGCCUGUACAUGCAGUAGCUGAUUCCACAAACACAGCGCAGCCCCAAGACACUGUAGAUUGUGCAGAUGAAGGACUACUCACAAUGCCUGCAGCAAGUGAGACUGCUGCUCCCUCUGAAGGUAAGGGGUGCAGUUGGUUCUCGAAGCUUAUUAUUGUUUCAUCACUUUGCAACAUAUGGCAAACUGCAGAGUGGUGGCAAAAAGUCACUUGGAUGAGUGACAAAAUGUUUCUCCCACUGAAAACGCUACGUCCAGAUUAACAGAAUCAACGUUUUGGGAUUUACUUACCUGGAUGAUUGAGCAUGCAUCAAGAGACUUUUAUUCAACUUUUUAUUCAGUCUUUUAUUCACAGCGGAACACUAAAUGUUGUCUCAUUUUAGAAAUUUGAUAAAUUUUCAAACAGAAUUUUAGCUCGUUUUGAUAUUGAUGGUAGCAACACAUUUCAGAAGUUAGUACAGGGUAGCAUCCAUUCUUUUAACAAGCAAAUGUUUUUUGUUUUUUUUUGUUUGGUUUUUUGUUUGUUUUAACUACUACUACUUUAUAUAUCUUCCAGAGAAAAAUGCUGCUCAAUCCCACAAUUCCCGAAGAGCUCCCAAAAACAUGUGGUCCAAGGCUGAGGUUGCUGCAGUGAUGAGGCAUUUGAAAGACCACAUAAACGAAGGGAAACUAGCCACCAAAAAUGAAUGCAGUCAUUGCAAAUUGGUAGAAGAUCCGGUGUUGGCAGGAAGAACAGUUCAAAACAUAAGAGAUUUUGUAAGAAACAGAGGAUUAACUGCAAAAAGGCAGAAAAAAAUGAACUAAAAUAACUGUUUAGAGAGCUGUGGUUUUACAUCUUGGUCAGAUUGCCAAUUGUUGUUAACACUGAUGUUCUGUUUAAAGAAAAAAAAGUUCUUGUUAAAUACAGAAGUAGUUUGUAUUUCAUAAUUUUUACAUUUAAUUUAUUUAGGGUUUUUUUUGACGGGUUAUAUUUAAAAUAAAAAAUUAUAAAUGCAUAUUUUCUCCCCUUAAUAUUUACCUUUAAACUAUUAAAAUUCAUUUUAAAUGUUUUUAAUUUUUCUGUUUUCUAUAUUUUUAUAUUUCUGUGGGAAGCGUGGGCAUUUUUGUCCAUAGAUUUCUUUUUUUAUUUAUGGUUAAAAUUAAUGUUCAGAUCCAAGAACACUAAUAAAAUGAUGUUCCAGUAAUCCUGUGUCCUGUCAGAUGUGUAUUCAUGGUAAUGAUGAGCUAUUUAAAUAUUACAUCAUUGUCCCUUUAAAGACCCAAUAUUGCUUUUUUUGGACCUCAUAAAACACAUUGUUGUCAAGUGGACAAUGUCUCCAGAAAACACAAUAGAGUCUGGUUGGUGUGUAUCAGUGUAUCUAGACUUCUAUAGGGAGUGUAUGAGGUCUGAAGUGACCCAAAUUUUUUUCAGAUUUUUUCGAACACUUUAACCUCGCUCCCUUGGCUCUAAGUCCUUUCAAAAGGGUAGUCCACUUAAACCACCACCGGGCGGAUUGACGUAGUAUAGUCCCGCCAUACCACAUAGACCCGUAUGUGUGUGUGUGUGUGUGUGUGUGACAGAGUUCAGUGAGACCAUGGAGGAGAAGAGGGGAGAGGGGGCAGAAUCGGGAGGGAGUUAAGCUUCCUGACAGCCUGAUGGAUGAAGCUGUCCUUCAGUCUGCUGGUCCUGGCCUGGAGACUCCGCAGUCUCCUCCCCGACGGCAGCAGCUUGAAGAAGCU